Molecule: ribosomal RNA, 466 nt
Filed under: uncultured bacterium
Lineage: Bacteria
Description: partial 16S ribosomal RNA
Rfam family: Bacterial small subunit ribosomal RNA
Source: RNAcentral
ACGAACGCUGGCGGCGUGCUUAACACAUGCAAGUCGAACGGAAAGGCCCUGCUUUUGUGGGGUGCUCGAGUGGCGAACGGGUGAGUAACACGUGAGUAACCUGCCCUUGACUUUGGGAUAACUUCAGGAAACUGGGGCUAAUACCGGAUAGGAGCUCCUGCUGCAUGGUGGGGGUUGGAAAGUUUCGGCGGUUGGGGAUGGACUCGCGGCUUAUCAGCUUGUUGGUGGGGUAGUGGCUUACCAAGGCUUUGACGGGUAGCCGGCCUGAGAGGGUGACCGGCCACAUUGGGACUGAGAUACGGCCCAGACUCCUACGGGAGGCAACAGUGGGGAAUAUUGCACAAUGGGCGGAAGCCGGAUGCAGCAACGCCGCGUGCGGGAUGACGGCCUUCGGGUUGUAAACCGCUUUCGCCUGUGACGAAGCGUGAGUGACGGUAAUGGGUAAAGAAGCACCGGCUAACUACGU